GAUGAACGCUGGCGGCGUGCCUAAUACAUGCAAGUCGAGCAAACAGACGAGGAGCUUGCUCCUCUGACGUUAGCGGCGGACGGGUGAGUAACACGUGGAUAACCUACCUAUAAGACUGGGAUAACUUCGGGAAACCGGAGCUAAUACCGGAUAAUAUAUUGAACCGCAUGGUUCAAUAGUGAAAGACGGUUUUGCUGUCACUUAUAGAUGGAUCCGCGCCGCAUUAGCUAGUUGGUAAGGUGACGGCUUACCAAGGCGACGAUGCGUAGCCGACCUGAGAGGGUGAUCGGCCACACUGGAACUGAGACACGGUCCAGACUCCUACGGGAGGCAGCAGUAGGGAAUCUUCCGCAAUGGGCGAAAGCCUGACGGAGCAACGCCGCGUGAGUGAUGAAGGUCUUCGGAUCGUAAAACUCUGUUAUUAGGGAAGAACAAAUGUGUAAGUAACUAUGCACGUCUUGACGGUACCUAAUCAGAAAGCCACGGCUAACUACGUG
RNAcentral lists this ribosomal RNA (497 nucleotides) under uncultured bacterium. RNAcentral describes it as "partial 16S ribosomal RNA". It matches the Rfam family "Bacterial small subunit ribosomal RNA", at positions 28 to 507 of the family's 1533-position model. The record is from RNAcentral.